Myotis lucifugus (little brown bat) is the source of this 106-nucleotide small nuclear RNA. NCBI's taxonomy places the organism in Eukaryota, Metazoa, Chordata, Mammalia, Chiroptera, Vespertilionidae. The record is from Ensembl.
GUGCUCACUUAGGCAGUACACAUGCUAAUAUUGGAACAAAGCUGGGAAGGGUAGUCUGGCCCUACACAAAGGUAACACACAAAUUUGUGAAGCAUUACAUAUUUUA